RNAcentral lists this ribosomal RNA (276 nucleotides) under uncultured Treponema sp. RNAcentral describes it as "partial 16S ribosomal RNA". It matches the Rfam family "Bacterial small subunit ribosomal RNA", at positions 355 to 621 of the family's 1533-position model. The record is from RNAcentral. Lineage: Bacteria; Pseudomonadati; Spirochaetota; Spirochaetia; Treponematales; Treponemataceae.
CUAAGAAUAUUUCCGCAAUGGACGAAAGUCUGACGGAGCGACGCCGCGUGGAUGAUGAAGGCCGGAAGGUUGUAAAAUCCUUUUAUGACUGAGGAAUAAGUGAAGUGAGGGAAACGCUUCAUGGUGACUGUAGGUCAUGAAUAAGCAACGGCUAAUUACGUGCCAGCAGCCGCGGUAACACGUAAGUUGCGAGCGUUGUUCGGAAUUAUUGGGCGUAAAGGGUAUGUAGGCGGUUCUGCAAGUCUGGUGUGAAAUGCCGGGGCGUCAACCCGACCG